This 73-nucleotide transfer RNA is filed under the name Paramuricea clavata. It matches the Rfam family "tRNA". Rfam says of the family: Transfer RNA (tRNA) molecules are approximately 80 nucleotides in length. Their secondary structure includes four short double-helical elements and three loops (D, anti-codon, and T loops). Further hydrogen bonds mediate the characteristic L-shaped molecular structure. tRNAs have two regions of fundamental functional importance: the anti-codon, which is responsible for specific mRNA codon recognition, and the 3' end, to which the tRNAs corresponding amino acid is attached (by aminoacyl-tRNA synthetases). tRNAs cope with the degeneracy of the genetic code in two manners: having more than one tRNA (with a specific anti-codon) for a particular amino acid; and 'wobble' base-pairing, i.e. permitting non-standard base-pairing at the 3rd anti-codon position. Lineage: Eukaryota; Metazoa; Cnidaria; Anthozoa; Malacalcyonacea; Plexauridae. The record is from Rfam by way of RNAcentral.
GACCGCGUAGCUCAGUUGGAAGAGCAUUAGGCUAGUAUUCCAAAGGUCGUAGGUUCGAAUCCCACCGUGGCCG